RNAcentral lists this non-coding RNA (1373 nucleotides) under Pongo abelii (Sumatran orangutan). Lineage: Eukaryota; Metazoa; Chordata; Mammalia; Primates; Hominidae. The record is from RNAcentral.
GGCGCGGACGCUUGUGCCGGAAGUAAACUUGUUAAUGGUUCUUUGCCUUUUGGGGAGGGGAGAUAGCCCCGAGAAGGCUUCGGAGACCCUUGAGUCGGCCGGCGAGCAGGGUUUCGUACUUGAGCGCCUCCACAAAUAAACGCUCCUUCGCUCUUCCGUCGCGUGCGUUUCCCUGGGAUAAUAAGUGGGAAAGUAGUGGCUUUUAUUUUUUUGAGACAGGGCUCACCGCCGUCGCCCAGGCUGGAUGGAGUGCAAUGGCGCGAUCACGGCUCACUGCAGCCUCGACUUCACAGGCGCAGAGAUGGGUUUCACCAUGUUUCCCAGCCUUGUGUCAAACUCCUGACCUCAAGUGAUCCGCCGUCUUGGGUCUUCGAAAGUGCUGGGACUGCAGGAAUGAGCCACCGCAUCUGGCCCGGAAAGUGUUUUGGAGGGUAGAAAACUGCAAAUUAUAGGACUGCCUUCAAGGAUCCCGAAGGACCCACAGAUUUGCCGCAUCGGGCUCCUAUGCGCGCCGCUAAUUUCAUGUGUUGAGAUGCACUGCCCAGUGCGUUGUUUUUACUGGAGGAGCUUGUGUGCGGAGCUCCUUGCUAGUGUCAUGUGUAUGUGUUGGGAUGGGAGAGAAGUGCAGGAGAACUAUGAGAUAAUGCCCCCUGAUCCUCAGGGUCUUAGGAGGUAUGGUCGGAGAGGCUAAGCUAAAGCAUGAAAGCCAUGUGUAGGCCCUUCUGUGUAGUGCAGAAAAGGGAGAGGUAUGUGGUUUGAAAGAGUAGGGAUGACAUGGAGGGUGCGACUCCUGGUUGGAUCUAUGAACUAGUGUCCUUGGGACGAAAGUACAUGCAACCUUUUGAAAAUGGAUGGGUGAUAAUGAAAGACCAUUCCAGAGAAGAAACACCAUGGUGCAAAGGCUCAAGAGGCAUACUGGAAGUACAAUGAAGAGAGCAAUCUAACUGAAAUGGGAAAAAAAGAAAUAGUGUAAAAAGAUUUGAUGAGAAAGAUGGAAUCGAUUUUUAAAUUUUUUUAUCUACACAACAAAAUUUAUCAUCUUAACCAUUUUUUAGUGAAUAAUUCGUUAGUAUUAAGUAUAUUUACCUUGUGCAACCAGUCUCCAGAAUUCUUUUCAUCUUGCAAAACAAACCCCUCACCCAUUAAACAAUUUCUCAUUCGCCGUUUUCCAGCUAGCCUUGGUAACCUCCAUUCUAGUUCUGUCUCUAUGAAUUUGACUACUUUAGGUACCUCGUGUAAGUGGUAUCAUACAGUAUUUGUCUUUUUGUGACUGGCAUAUUUUACAUAGCAUAAUCUCCUUGUGGUUUAUCCAUGUUGUAGCAUGUGUCAGAAUUUCCUUCCCUUUUAAGACUAAAUAAUAUUCCAUUGUAUGU